UACGUAGGGUGCGAGCGUUGUCCGGAAUUAUUGGGCGUAAAGGGCUCGUAGGCGGUUUGUCGCGUCGGGAGUGAAAACACCGGGCUUAACUCGGUGCUUGCUUUCGAUACGGGCAGACUAGAGGCAUGCAGGGGAGAACGGAAUUCCUGGUGUAGCGGUGAAAUGCGCAGAUAUCAGGAGGAACACCGGUGGCGAAGGCGGAUCUCUGGGCCUUACCUGACGCUCAGGUGCGAAAGCUAGGGGAGCGAACAGG
This 253-nucleotide ribosomal RNA is filed under the name uncultured bacterium. RNAcentral describes it as "partial 16S ribosomal RNA". It matches the Rfam family "Bacterial small subunit ribosomal RNA", at positions 524 to 776 of the family's 1533-position model. The record is from RNAcentral.